CCAGGCCAUGUGCUGGCGAUCUUAUCCCCAUGGUUUCCUUACACCCUAAGCUAAGCCCCCAAUAAAAUCCCCAUUCUUCUCAGCUUUCUUCCCGAAUGCAUUUCAUCGAACACCUUGCGAUCACUCUCUCACCACCACUAGAGAUCACCAUUGCGAGGCUUCCCGGCCAGAGCUGGAGGUUGGAGGGAGUGGAGGAAGAGUUGUGCUCCUGCCGUCGCCAUUGAAGGACCCGAGGACCGCUGGACACCGGGAACCACGCGUCGAACACUUUCGGGCGUCACCAACAGCUAGCCGCCUCCACUUCGUCCGCACCGCAGCACGCGUCGCCGCCCUUCGCCGUCUCUCCAUCCCGGGAAAUUGUAUAUCGGUUAGUCGUGAGGCAACGUAUGCAGCUUCCAGGAGGUGAAGAUUGAUCAAGAUUAUACCAAGAAUAAGAACUAUCCUGAGCAGGCAAGUCAUCACCCCAUCCCCUGAGCAUGUUGGUCCCAAUUGUGAAAUUGUUUUGUUUAUAAAUAAAAUUGCAUGCAAUGAUGAAUAUCCUACUUGUUAUUUUGCCAUGCCUUUGAUUAUUGUUUACCUCAUUAUUUCCUUGUACCCAUGAUUACGUAUGAGUCCUUAGUCAAUUAUGACAAAAGCUUAGUAAUGCUACUUUAGAAUCAUGCAUUCUCAUAUUUAUCAAAUGCUAUAUGCUUAGGCAACUACCUUAGGGAAAGUAGUUGAGAUACGGCUUGUGGAGACAUGAGCGCCACAUUGCCAUGACAUUGGUGACAUGAUUUGUGAAAGGAAAAAUGAAACUAAACAACUGUUUUCGACUGGGGCGGCUGGAGGACUUGGGUGGUGUCCAGAAAAGGCUAGUACCGUCCCUGGUCAGUUAAGAACCGAGCCAUGAAGUUAAGCAUGAAACGGUCCCCGUACAACCAUACUUGUCGUGUGGGUAUAGACCUAGCGGAGUAAAUAGCUGAGCGGAGGCGGUACCCAAGCCGUAGUGGUUUUCUUGAUGUGUGUGAGGCAGGCCCUACGGUGGGGCAGCCAUUGGUAGGACCGCGAGGGGCGGGUGCCUACAGUUGUGUCGCCAUCGGUAGGACUGCCAUGUGUAAACCUAAACUUAACUAUAACUUAAUGCAUGUGUGAGUCUGCUUGUGGCAUGUCAACCGGGCCCUUGUAUUAUUUUGUCUUCCGCUGUUGUUCUCUGAUAGUUGUUGGCCUACCUGGCCCUAAUGUAAGCAUUUAACUCUUUUAGCCUGAAUUCAUUCGUGAUAUGUUGUGAUUCGGCUAUGUAUGUGUGUACCAACUACUGAUCCAGGGAUUGGUACUGAUAAACACAGAAGAUUUCCGAUUUCCAAAAUUGGGGGUCGACAUUGGCUUAGAUAGUUUAAUAUGAGAAUGAGUAGACUUAUGCUUGUGUGUCACUCUACCCUAUGAAUUAUAUUAACCCUGCUUAGACUAUGAUUAUUACAAGUAAUAUAUAAUUUAUCAGUACGGUUCUCUCUACUGUAAUCUUCCCAUGGGAUUAAACAAAUACAAUACCCUUGGAAUACUCUCGGGUGAAAAGCUACACUGGUAUAUCCGUGCGCUUGCGGAUAAACUCUAUAACCAUAAUAUACCAGGAGUAUUUUCUACGACAUUGCUGGGAAUUAUAUUUCUAGUAAUGUCAUUAAGAAAUACCAUCACUAGCAACAAAAUCCGGUCUUGCUGAAAUUUGUGAUGAAUAAGACACAUGUUAUGCUUUGGUUUGCAAAGAUACUCUAUUUUCUGUUGAUGACGUCUAGCUCUUUGCCUUCUCCUGUCACUAAUCUUUUUGCAGGAGUUUCGAGAUGUAUUCCCAUCUGAGUUACUGCAGGUCUACCACCCAUUUGAGGGAUUUGGAGUAUGAAAAAGUGGUUUGAUAACGCCAUAGAGGCUGGUGAUCUGCCUCAAGCAAAGAGUGGUUCAUUCAUGUUGAGGAUCACCCAAAACAUUAAAGUUGUUUUUAGGAGAAAGUAGUGAACGGAUGGAAGAGGGUGGAAAUCGCAAGGAGAAGGCUCAAUACCUUGUGAGAGCAUCGUUGAUAACUACGAGACAAACAGAUGUAGGGAUUGCGAGGUGAUAUCUACUGAUUUAAAGCCUCAAAUUGUGAAUGUACACAUGUCGAUAAAUCAAACCUAUUGAAAGAUCUGGUAACUAUUCGUAUCAACAAGUAUUUAAAAAUUACAAUGUAAGUUUUUAAAUUUAAUUGUAAGUAUAUAAAAUUCACCAAUGUAAUUAUUAAAAUCUAUCUAUUAUUAUAUACUAAAAGUCCAUUAAACUUCCUAAAAACACACUCAAGCCACCACGUGGCACCCUAUAAAUACUGUUAUGCCGCCACGUUAUUUUCAUUUAA
Non-coding RNA from Oryza sativa Japonica Group (Japanese rice), 2359 nucleotides. The record is from RefSeq and is a predicted model, not a curated record. Lineage: Eukaryota; Viridiplantae; Streptophyta; Magnoliopsida; Poales; Poaceae.